This is a non-coding RNA of Pelobates cultripes (western spadefoot toad), 360 nucleotides long. The record is from the annotation of a GenBank genome assembly. NCBI's taxonomy places the organism in Eukaryota, Metazoa, Chordata, Amphibia, Anura, Pelobatidae.
GCUGAUCUGCUCAAAACUGACAAGCAUCACCAAGGCCGUAUGGGCCGACACUAAUAAUCUGCAAAUAUGAAAAACUAAAUAUAUGGCAUAGCAUUAAAUAUUAAAAUGCAGGGUGAUUACAUGAAUUGCAUAUGAUAAAAUUGAUAUGGCCAAAUGAUGGCCGAAUACAGUAAGCAGAAUGCAUGACGCUAAUUGAGGUAUCACUAUGAUGCUAUGUAUGAUUAAAAUAGGCAAAAUUUGCGUUAGUAUCCUUAUGACGUCAGAAUAUGUACUGAACUGUGAAUGCCAACCUAGUUAGUGAAAGGCUGAACAUGGGGCGAAUACAUGUUGAAUGUCAUGGACAGUGUGGCCCAAAGCUGG